GCGUCCCAUUAGUUAGUUGGUAAGGUAACGGCUUACCAAGACUACGAUGGGUAGGGGUCCUGAGAGGGAGAUCCCCCACACUGGUACUGAGACACGGACCAGACUCCUACGGGAGGCAGCAGUGAGGAAUAUUGGACAAUGGGCGCAAGCCUGAUCCAGCCAUGCCGCGUGCAGGAUGACGGUCCUAUGGAUUGUAAACUGCUUUUAUACGAGAAGAAACACUGGUUCGUGAACCAGCUUGACGGUAUCGUAAGAAUAAGGAUCGGCUAACUCCGUGCCAGCAGCCGCGGUAAUACGGAGGAUCCAAGCGUUAUCCGGAAUCAUUGGGUUUAAAGGGUCCGUAGGCGGUCAGAUAAGUCAGUGGUGAAAGCCCAUCGCUCAACGGUGGAACGGCCAUUGAUACUGUCUGACUUGAAUUAUUAGGAAGUAACUAGAAUAUGUAGUGUAGCGGUGAAAUGCUUAGAGAUUACAUGGAAUACCAAUUGCGAAGGCAGGUUACUACUAAUAUAUUGACGCUGAUGGACGAAAGCGUGGGUAGCGAACAGGAUUAGAUACCCUGGUAGUCCACGCCGUAAACGAUGGAUACUAGCUGUUGGGAGCAAUCU
Molecule: ribosomal RNA, 605 nt
Filed under: uncultured Flavobacterium sp.
Lineage: Bacteria; Pseudomonadati; Bacteroidota; Flavobacteriia; Flavobacteriales; Flavobacteriaceae
Description: bacterial SSU rRNA
Rfam family: Bacterial small subunit ribosomal RNA
Source: RNAcentral